CAACCACUUGUAAUUUAUGAGGUCAUUCUCUGUUCUAUUAGACUGGAGCCAAUAGUAUGCUCACACUCCAACAGAAUGCCACUUAGCAAUGACAUGAGCCCAUAUGGUAGCUGUCAGAAAGUCAUGGAGCAAAGGAGAUCCGUCAAACUGAUGAACAGGAAACAAAGCCGCCAUCUUGCAGUCGGAAUUGUUACUUUAUCAUCCACUGAACUUAUAUCUUUCUGCUUUUCUACCUCUGGGAUGACACGUUUAAUACCCCUCAGGCAAUGGUUACUUAAUAGUUGCUUCCCUGGUGUCACUCUAUUUUUACUUACUAAAUGUAAAACUUAUGAAAUAUGCCUGGUGUAACAAAAAAUAAUUUUUAAAUGUCCAAUCUUAAAGUUAAAUACAAACAUAUCAACAAUCAGUGACCAUUCACAGACCAAGAAACUCCAUUCUCUUUACUGAACCUCAAAAGAAUUUAUUUGCAUUUUGGAUAUCAAAAUAUCAAGAACUCCAAGGAAAAAAAUAAUCAAACAAAAUGUUUUUUUUUUACUAUUGUUUCUUUUACAUUUUACUCAAGAUAAAAUUAAGACUAAUGAUCAAAUAUAACCCACUCUGAUUCCUUAGCUCUCUGCCUGUGAGGCUGUUGUCUCUGUUGGAGAGGUUCAUUCUUAUGAAACCUGUUACUUUUAUGUUACUCUUAUGAAACCUGUUUCUCAUUUGGGGUUCUGAGAGGCAGGGCUUCUUGUCUUCUCUAACAGAAA
This 746-nucleotide long non-coding RNA is filed under the name Homo sapiens (human). Its description in RNAcentral is "non-protein coding lnc-PLA2G4A-8:1". Lineage: Eukaryota; Metazoa; Chordata; Mammalia; Primates; Hominidae. The record is from RNAcentral.